AUUUCAGAGGAAGUUACCUCAUAAAUGACAACCAGAAAGUGAUUCUUACCUUAGCUAAAAGUUUAUAUAUCGCCGUCUAGUACUCUUCUUUGAAGGCUACAAAGUGCUUAUGGCAAGAAGACAGGCCAUGAUGUAGCAUAUGUUAAGGACAUUAAGGUGAGUUACAAUAAGAAGCUCUUUCCGAAUUCUACUUAGAAAAGAUUGAAGAUGGAUUUGAAAGUAAUAAUUAAAACAAAUAGUCUAUGAAUGUUUCUAGGCUCGUGUACACACCG
This 272-nucleotide ribosomal RNA is filed under the name Roxaniella pittmani. Its description in RNAcentral is "Atys pittmani partial small subunit ribosomal RNA". The record is from RNAcentral. Lineage: Eukaryota; Metazoa; Mollusca; Gastropoda; Cephalaspidea; Haminoeidae.